This 400-nucleotide ribosomal RNA is filed under the name Leptobrachella laui (Lau's leaf little toad). Its description in RNAcentral is "partial 16S ribosomal RNA". It matches the Rfam family "Bacterial large subunit ribosomal RNA", at positions 1946 to 2518 of the family's 2925-position model. Lineage: Eukaryota; Metazoa; Chordata; Amphibia; Anura; Megophryidae. The record is from RNAcentral.
CCGUGCAAAGGUAGCGUAAUCACUUGUCUUUUAAAUAAAGACUAGUAUGAAUGGCAUCACGAGAACUAAUCUGUCUCCCUCCCCCAAUCAGUGAAACUGAUCCUCCCGUGCAGAAGCGGGGAUAAUAUCAUAAGACGAGAAGACCCUGUGGAGCUUCAAAUCAAAAACCAACUGCUCCCUCUUCCCUUAAACAAGGAAAUAUUAAUGCAAACGCCUGGUUCAAGAUUUUUAGCUGGGGCGGCUAUGGAGAAAAAAAAAUCCUCCACGAAGAACUAUACUGAGGGCUACCGCCCUAAGCAUUAACAAAUUAAUUUAAUUGACCCUUUUUUGAUCAACGGACCAAGUUACCCCAGGGAUAACAGCGCAAUCCACUUUCAGAGUCCAUAUCGACAAGUGGGCU